UUUGACCUCGGAUCAGGUAGGGAUACCCGCUGAAC
RNAcentral lists this ribosomal RNA (35 nucleotides) under Alternaria sp. CBS 118527. RNAcentral describes it as "partial 28S ribosomal RNA". RNAcentral also lists the same sequence under 15 other names. The record is from RNAcentral. Lineage: Eukaryota; Fungi; Ascomycota; Dothideomycetes; Pleosporales; Pleosporaceae.